GCAAUGCCGCGUGCAGGACGAAGGCCUUCGGGUUGUAAACUGCUUUUGUACGGAACGAAACGGUCUCUUCUAAUAAAGGAGGCUAAUGACGGUACCGUAAGAAUAAGCACCGGCUAACUACGUGCCAGCAGCCGCGGUAAUACGUAGGGUGCGAGCGUUAAUCGGAAUUACUGGGCGUAAAGCGUGCGCAGGCGGUUAUAUAAGACAGAUGUGAAAUCCCCGGGCUCAACCUGGGACCUGCAUUUGUGACUGUAUAGCUAGAGUACGGUAGAGGGGGAUGGAAUUCCGCGUGUAGCAGUGAAAUGCGUAGAUAUGCGGAGGAACACCGAUGGCGAAGGCAAUCCCCUGGACCUGUACUGACGCUCAUGCACGAAAGCGUGGGGAGCAAACAGGAUUAGAUACCCUGGUAGUCCACGCCCUAAACGAUGUCAACUGGUUGUUGGGUCUUCACUGACUCAGUAACGAAGCUAA
This 471-nucleotide ribosomal RNA is filed under the name Comamonadaceae bacterium. RNAcentral's name for it is "bacterial SSU rRNA". It matches the Rfam family "Bacterial small subunit ribosomal RNA", at positions 391 to 855 of the family's 1533-position model. The record is from RNAcentral. Lineage: Bacteria; Pseudomonadati; Pseudomonadota; Betaproteobacteria; Burkholderiales; Comamonadaceae.